GAAAAGGAUUGGCUCUGAGGGC
RNAcentral lists this small nuclear RNA (22 nucleotides) under Arabidopsis thaliana (thale cress). Its description in RNAcentral is "snRNA_06016". Lineage: Eukaryota; Viridiplantae; Streptophyta; Magnoliopsida; Brassicales; Brassicaceae. The record is from RNAcentral.